Molecule: ribosomal RNA, 253 nt
Filed under: uncultured bacterium
Lineage: Bacteria
Description: partial 16S ribosomal RNA
Rfam family: Bacterial small subunit ribosomal RNA
Source: RNAcentral
GACGAGGGAUCCUAGCGUUGUUCGGAAUCAUUGGGCGUAAAGCGGGUGUAGGUGGCUAUAUAAGUCAGGUGUGAAAGCCCGGGGCUCAACCUCGGAAGUGCACUUGAUACUGCAUAGCUUGAGUGCGGGAGAGGCUAUUAGAAUUCCAGGUGUAGUGGUGAAAUACGUAGAUAUCUGGAGGAAUACCGGAGGCGAAGGCGGAUGGCUGGCCCGACACUGACACUCAGACCCGAAAGCGUGGGGAUCAAACAGG